GACGUAGGGCGCGAGCGUUGUCCGGAUUUAUUGGGCGUAAAGAGCUCGUAGGCGGUUUGUCGCGUCGUCCGUGAAAACUUGGGGCUCAACCCCAAGCUUGCGGGCGAUACGGGCAGACUUGAGUACUGCAGGGGAGACUGGAAUUCCUGGUGUAGCGGUGAAAUGCGCAGAUAUCAGGAGGAACACCCGUGGCUAAGGCGGCUCUCUAGUACGGUACUGACGCUGAGACGCGAAAGCGUGGGGAGCGAACAGG
RNAcentral lists this ribosomal RNA (253 nucleotides) under uncultured bacterium. Its description in RNAcentral is "partial 16S ribosomal RNA". It matches the Rfam family "Bacterial small subunit ribosomal RNA", at positions 524 to 776 of the family's 1533-position model. The record is from RNAcentral.